CCACCUUGGGUUCUCUUCCCACUCCCAUCAUGACCCCUUCCCUGCCCCACACCCCCUCCCUCCGCCUUUGUACCCCAUAGCUGCGGCACACGGGGCUGAAUGAGUUCGUUCCACAGGCAAGGAGUGUCUGGGAGUCCCAGGGCACAAGAACACGAAUAUAGUUGUGGCACUCGUCCUAGAGAAGCCAAAAUUCCAGACCUUUCCAGGCCUCAUCUCCAUGCCUGCACCUCCUGCCACAUGCCUCUUACCUUGUUGGGCACCAGCCCCUCCCCUGCCUCCUGGGCUUGAAGAUCGAAGGAGAAAACGUGAUCCCUGCAGGGAGAGGCUGCCUCAAAAUGGAAAUAUAAAUAAUUCAACGACAGGCACAGGCAACGGUAGCCCAAAGUCCAGGAAAAGAUGGAUAUGGUGAAAGCGUGGUAAGACUGCCCUUCCCACUCAUCAGGCACCGCCAACCCCACCCCAGCUGACCCCGGUUGGGCCCCCGCAGUGGGAGGUGUACUCCAGCUUCCUGCCCUCCCUCCCCUCAAACUGAAGCGAGGGGCUGAGUGGCUCCUGAAACCAGGUCGGGUGAGAAUCCUUCCUUUCUGUGAAUAGACAGCUAUCCCUCACCAAUCCUUAGUUGUUCAUCCCACCAUGUCCCCUUAAAGAACAGACCCUGGGUUUCCAAGCCCAGCCCAUUCCAUCUCCCCAAAUCCACUCUUGGAGCCAGGACCCAAGUGUACCCCACCCCCAGUCCAGCGUCACUGGUGGGGAGGUUGACGUCAGAUGGGGUCCCAAGAGGGCUGGAGGAGGGGAAGGGGUAGGAACAUCUAAUGAUGACCCCCUCCCCAGGGGCAGAGCAGUCAGCUAGCUAACGACCCUCUGGUGCUGAAAGGCCAAGCCUCCCUAACCACCCCACCCCCAUCCCCGGAUGCUGGUGCUCCCAGGGGAAGAGAAAGGGACCCAGCCUGUCUCCUAUCCUCCCCCUCCGGCUCCCCCCCCCUCCAAGUUGCCCUGGGCAACUGGUAUCUUCACCCAGGAAACAACUUUGGCCUCUGGCAAGUGGGGAGAACAGCCAGACCCCUCUUCCUGCCCCCAGGCCAGGCCAGUUUCCAUCCCCUGCCUUCAGGAGCUGCUGCCCUUUCCUCACCUGGGGUCGUGACUCCUGUGGGGGUUUGAGGGGGAUAGGAAACCUGUGACCUGAUGGAAGAAGGGACAGGAGGGAAGAGGCUUAGCUAGACUUCCUUACCACAUCCCUUAGAAGUAAAUGUGAAAAUUUAGGAGAAGUCUACUGAAGCUAGGGAAAGGGAUGUGCGGCCCUGGAAAGGUGUGGGUGUGUUGUGAGGUGGCGUGGGGCGGGGUGUUGACAGUGAGCUAGAUUACAGAGGUGCCGGCCGCUUCAAACCCAAAGAUGUGAGGGCAGGGGCAGGGGCUGGCCCCUAGCUGGAAACUCCUGGAACUGAAGGACCAGUCUUGGGGAAAAGGGUGACAGGGAGAGUUUGUGGGGCAUGACGACCACUCCCACAUUAAAACCCUCAGAAUCCAGCAGCCUUCACCGAGAAAGCGCCCUAGCUGGGGACAAUAGAGGCUAAUUUGCAUCUCA
Molecule: long non-coding RNA, 1582 nt
Organism: Acinonyx jubatus (cheetah)
Lineage: Eukaryota; Metazoa; Chordata; Mammalia; Carnivora; Felidae
Exons: 3
Source: RefSeq, a predicted model, not a curated record